CAUUCAGAACCAAGUAACAGUUUGAUUAAUGGAAUCUCACCAGAACGAGUCUCGGCGUCACAGUAUAGAUUUCUAUGAACUCACACACAUCUUCAGAUCUCUAGCAAUUACUUCGGCACUGUGUUCUUUUCUCCAUGUCACGUGACCAUCUGUGCUGACGUUUUUAAUCAUCUUUGGCGAAGCUUCCGAAUACGAACACAAGUUUCUUAUGCCAAAUGUACAAUGAAAUGGAAGCCAUCAUGGCUAUUUUCAAAGUACUACCGUGCCAGUUUCUGAAAGGAGAAUCC
This is a non-coding RNA of Zootermopsis nevadensis, 287 nucleotides long. The record is from RefSeq and is a predicted model, not a curated record. Lineage: Eukaryota; Metazoa; Arthropoda; Insecta; Blattodea; Termopsidae.